Molecule: transfer RNA, 27 nt
Filed under: Habenaria pseudoglaucophylla
Lineage: Eukaryota; Viridiplantae; Streptophyta; Magnoliopsida; Asparagales; Orchidaceae
Description: partial tRNA-Gly
Source: RNAcentral
GCGGAUAUGGUCGAAUGGUAAAAUUUC